GGUGCCAGAGCGGCGCCCCCUGGCAUCCCCACAUGUCAAUCCGAAACCGAAACUGAAAACCGUAAACACAACAGGAGUCUCAACCCAAAGGGGUCUCCUGGAUCAAGCUGGUCAAGCUGCAGCGGCCACUGGUGUCCUGGAAUGGGGAAACCAGCCUUGACAUUCUACCCUCCUUUUUCCCCUUUUUUAUAAAUAAAAAUGUCGUGUCAUCAUCACUUAA
This 220-nucleotide long non-coding RNA is filed under the name Rhipicephalus microplus (southern cattle tick). RNAcentral's name for it is "uncharacterized LOC119164371, transcript variant X1". Lineage: Eukaryota; Metazoa; Arthropoda; Arachnida; Ixodida; Ixodidae. The record is from RNAcentral.